This 86-nucleotide transfer RNA is filed under the name Defluviitaleaceae bacterium. RNAcentral describes it as "tRNA-Ser". It matches the Rfam family "tRNA". From Rfam's summary of the family: Transfer RNA (tRNA) molecules are approximately 80 nucleotides in length. Lineage: Bacteria; Bacillati; Bacillota; Clostridia; Lachnospirales; Defluviitaleaceae. The record is from RNAcentral. RNAcentral also lists the same sequence under 1 other name.
GGAGUGGUAUCGAAGUGGUCAUAACGAGACUGACUCGAAAUCAGUUGAACCUCAGGGUUCCGUGGGUUCGAAUCCCACCCACUCCG